GAGUUGUUUUUCAGGUGGUAUUGGCAGCAAUGUCAGUGCUAUUUGUUUAACUACUGUCAUCAUCAAAGUCCACCAAUCUUUUGUUUGGUGUGUACUGGAUGUUGACCUCCUAUCUUCUGGUAACAACCAUCUUCACGGGUGGAAGUUCCAGAUAGUUUACUUUGAAAAAAUUAGAGUGUUCAAAGCAGGCGAACCUGGCAUCAUGAAUACAUUAGCAUGGGAUAAUAGAAUAUGACUUUUGGUCUUAUUUUGUUGGUUUCUAAGGCCGAAGUA
RNAcentral lists this ribosomal RNA (273 nucleotides) under uncultured fungus. Its description in RNAcentral is "partial small subunit ribosomal RNA". It matches the Rfam family "Eukaryotic small subunit ribosomal RNA", at positions 632 to 864 of the family's 1831-position model. Lineage: Eukaryota; Fungi. The record is from RNAcentral.